UCCUUGAAAAUAAUUACAGGUGACAUUUCC
RNAcentral lists this non-coding RNA (30 nucleotides) under Rattus norvegicus (Norway rat). Lineage: Eukaryota; Metazoa; Chordata; Mammalia; Rodentia; Muridae. The record is from RNAcentral.